RNAcentral lists this ribosomal RNA (114 nucleotides) under Diaphorina citri (Asian citrus psyllid). The record is from RNAcentral. Lineage: Eukaryota; Metazoa; Arthropoda; Insecta; Hemiptera; Psyllidae.
GCCAGCAGCAAAAGCAUAUUGAAUGUACCAGUUCCCAAUGGCUGAAAUCAAGCAACGCUGCGCUUGGUUUGGUAUCUAGAUGGAUGACCAUAUGGCAAUCACGUGCUGCUGACU